GCGUUGUCCGGAAUCAUUGGGCGUAAAGAGCGUGUAGGCGGCCCGAUGAGUCCGCUGUGAAAUUCCAGGGCUCAACCCUGGAAUGCCGGUGGAUACUGUCGGGCUAGAGUUCGGAAGAGGUGAGUGGAAUUCCUGGUGUAGCGGUGAAAUGCGCAGAUAUCAGGAGGAACACCAAUGGCGAAGGCAGCUCACUGGGACGAUACUGACGCUGAGACGCGAAAGCGUG
RNAcentral lists this ribosomal RNA (226 nucleotides) under uncultured bacterium. RNAcentral's name for it is "partial 16S ribosomal RNA". It matches the Rfam family "Bacterial small subunit ribosomal RNA", at positions 538 to 763 of the family's 1533-position model. The record is from RNAcentral.